RNAcentral lists this transfer RNA (75 nucleotides) under Fibrobacterota bacterium. RNAcentral's name for it is "Fibrobacteres bacterium (soil metagenome) tRNA-Glu". It matches the Rfam family "tRNA". Rfam says of the family: Transfer RNA (tRNA) molecules are approximately 80 nucleotides in length. The record is from RNAcentral. Lineage: Bacteria; Pseudomonadati; Fibrobacterota.
GGCGCUAUCGUCUAGGGGUCAGGACAGGUGGUUCUCAUCCAUCAAACUGGAGUUCGAUUCUCCAUAGCGCUACCA